Molecule: ribosomal RNA, 240 nt
Filed under: uncultured bacterium
Lineage: Bacteria
Description: partial 16S ribosomal RNA
Rfam family: Bacterial small subunit ribosomal RNA
Source: RNAcentral
AGCGGCGGACGGGUGAGUAACGCGUGGGUAACCUACCUCAUACAGGGGGAUAACAGUUGGAAACGGCUGCUAAUACCGCAUAAGCGCACAGUACCGCAUGGUACCGUGUGAAAAACUCCGGUGGUAUGAGAUGGCCUCGCGUCCGAUUAGCUAGUUGGUGAGGUAACGGCCCACCAAGGCGACGAUCGGUAGCCGGACUGAGAGGUUGAACGGCCACAUUGGGACUGAGACACGGCCCAG